GGUCGGGUGGCCGAGUGGCUAGGCAGAGGUCUGCAAAACCUCGUACGACGGUUCGAAUCCGCCUCCGACCUC
Molecule: transfer RNA, 72 nt
Filed under: Bacteroidota bacterium
Lineage: Bacteria; Pseudomonadati; Bacteroidota
Description: tRNA-Cys
Rfam family: tRNA
About the family: Transfer RNA (tRNA) molecules are approximately 80 nucleotides in length. Their secondary structure includes four short double-helical elements and three loops (D, anti-codon, and T loops).
Source: RNAcentral